UGGGUGAGGAGGGAGAGG
This 18-nucleotide microRNA is filed under the name Ornithorhynchus anatinus (platypus). RNAcentral describes it as "oan-miR-1369". The record is from miRBase by way of RNAcentral. Lineage: Eukaryota; Metazoa; Chordata; Mammalia; Monotremata; Ornithorhynchidae.